GGCUUGUGGCUCAGUGGUAUAGUGCUCGCCUAGUAUGUGUGAAGCCCUGGGUUCAAUCCUCAGCACCA
Molecule: transfer RNA, 68 nt
Filed under: Marmota monax (woodchuck)
Lineage: Eukaryota; Metazoa; Chordata; Mammalia; Rodentia; Sciuridae
Description: tRNA.Thr
Source: RNAcentral